AUGCUCAGCUUUGGCAGCACAUAAACUAAAAUUAGAAUGAUGCAGAGAAGAUUAGCAUGGCCCCUGUGCAAGGAUGACACAAAUUCGUGAAGUGGUCCAUAUUUUU
This is a small nuclear RNA of Camelus dromedarius (Arabian camel), 106 nucleotides long. NCBI's taxonomy places the organism in Eukaryota, Metazoa, Chordata, Mammalia, Artiodactyla, Camelidae. The record is from Ensembl.